RNAcentral lists this ribosomal RNA (292 nucleotides) under uncultured bacterium. RNAcentral describes it as "partial 16S ribosomal RNA". It matches the Rfam family "Bacterial small subunit ribosomal RNA", at positions 505 to 796 of the family's 1533-position model. The record is from RNAcentral.
GUGUCAGCCGCCGCGGUAAUACAGAGGUCUCAAGCGUUGUUCGGAUUCAUUGGGCGUAAAGGGUGCGUAGGUGGCAUGGUAAGUCGGAUGUGAAAUCCCGGGGCUCAACCCCGGAACUGCAUUCGAUACUGCUGCGCUAGAGUACUGGAGAGGAGAUUGGAAUUUACGGUGUAGCAGUGAAAUGCGUAGAUAUCGUAAGGAAGACCAGUGGCGAAGGCGGAUCUCUGGACAGUUACUGACACUGAGGCACGAAGGCCAGGGGAGCAAACGGGAUUAGAUACCCCGGUAGUCC